This 496-nucleotide ribosomal RNA is filed under the name uncultured bacterium. RNAcentral's name for it is "partial 16S ribosomal RNA". It matches the Rfam family "Bacterial small subunit ribosomal RNA", at positions 28 to 507 of the family's 1533-position model. The record is from RNAcentral.
GAUGAACGCUGGCGGCGUGCCUAAUACAUGCAAGUCGAGCGAACAGACGAGGAGCUUGCUCCUCUGACGUUAGCGGCGGACGGGUGAGUAACACGUGGAUAACCUACCUAUAAGACUGGGAUAACUUCGGGAAACCGGAGCUAUACCGGCUAAUAUAUUGACCCGCAUGGUUCAAUAGUGAAAGACGGUUUUGCUGUCACUUAUAGAUGGAUCCGCGCCGCAUUAGCUAGGUGGUAAGGUAACGGCUUACCAAGGCAACGAUGCGUAGCCGACCUGAGAGGGUGAGCGGCCACACUGGAACUGAGACACGUUCCAGAAUCCUACGGGAGGCAGCAGUAGGGAAUCUUCAGCAAUGGGCGAAAGUCUGACGAAGCAACGCAGCGUGAGUGAUGAAGGUCUUCGAAUCGUAAAACUCUGUUAUUAGGGAAGAACAAAUGUGUAAGUAACUAUGCACGUCUUGACGGGACCUAAUCAGAAAGCCACGGCUAACUACGUG